Molecule: ribosomal RNA, 503 nt
Filed under: uncultured bacterium
Lineage: Bacteria
Description: bacterial SSU rRNA
Rfam family: Bacterial small subunit ribosomal RNA
Source: RNAcentral
GGCGCAUUAGCUGGUUGGAGGGGUAACGGCCCACCAAGGCGACGAUGCGUAGCCGACCUGAGAGGGUGAUCGGCCACACUGGGACUGAGACACGGCCCAGACUCCUACGGGAGGCAGCAGUAGGGAAUCUUCGGCAAUGGGCGAAAGCCUGACCGAGCAACGCCGCGUGAGUGAGGAAGGCCUUCGGGUCGUAAAACUCUGUUGCCAGAGAAGAACGUCCGAUAGUUAACUGCUAUUGGAGUGACGGUAUCUGAGAAGAAAGCCCCGGCUAACUACGUGCCAGCAGCCGCGGUAAUACGUAGGGGGCAAGCGUUGUCCGGAAUUAUUGGGCGUAAAGCGCGCGCAGGCGGUUGUUUAAGUCUGGGGUAUAAGUGCGGGGCUCAACCCCGUGAUGCCCUGGAAACUGGGGAACUGGAGUGCAGGAGAGGAUAGUGGAAUUCCACGUGUAGCGGUGAAAUGCGUAGAGAUGUGGAGGAACACCAGUGGCGAAGGCGACUUUCUGG